CCUACGGGUGGCUGCAGUGAGGAAUAUUGGUCAAUGGGCGCGAGCCUGAACCAGCCAAGUCGCGUGAGGGAAGACGGCCCUACGGGUUGUAAACCUCUUUUGCCGGGGAGCAACGGGCGCCACGUGUGGCGCCACUGAGAGUACCCGGAGAAAAAGAAUCGGCUACCUCCGUGCCAGCAGCGGCGGUAAUAGGGAGGAUGGGAGCGUUAUCCGUAUUUAUUGGGUUUAAAGGGUGCGUAGGCGGAGCGUUAAGUCAGUGGUCAAAUUGAGGGGCUCAACCCCUUCCCGCCAUUGAAACUGGCGCUCUUGAGUGGAAGAGAAGUAUGCGGAAUGCGUGGUGUAGCGGUGAAAUGCAUAGAUAUCACGCAGAACCCCGAUUGCGAAGGCAGCAUGCCGGCUUCCGACUGACGCUGAAGCACGAAAGCGUGGGGAUCGAACAGGAUUAGAUACCCGUGUAGUU
Molecule: ribosomal RNA, 460 nt
Filed under: uncultured bacterium
Lineage: Bacteria
Description: partial 16S ribosomal RNA
Rfam family: Bacterial small subunit ribosomal RNA
Source: RNAcentral